CACAACCUCCUACUGUUACGCAACUACCACAGCUUACGUGCAACUUUUUUUUUUUUUUAAUAAAUGAAACGUGCUUUUAGAGCUACCCUCCCAAGGACCCAUUUUAUGUCUCAUUCGAAUUUCCCCCCUCCCCUAUACCCGCACGUUUCCCACCCCCAGCGUUCGCAUUCUCCUUUCGGGCUUCACCCUUCCGCCCACAUUCUUCAUGCCGCCAUUCUCACCGCCCGUCUGGGGCCGCAAGACAAGGUUGAAAUAACAUGAUGGGCAAUGAGGAAGAUGGAAGGCCAUCCAGACCUUCUACCUCAAUUUCACCAACUCAGAUAUGAUACACAUUGUUUAUUUGAAAAUGUCGUGGUGGGAGGUGUUGGAAGGAAAAGUCUGCUUUGGAUAUUUUCACUGCAAUUAUGUUGGCAUGCUUGGUUCACCCAACACUAGGAUUAUUUGCACUCCUCUUGUUUCAUGCUUUGGCCUGUCACAAUAUGUUCUGCAGGUAUUGUUUUGUGAUUUGUCUUGUCCUUCGCUGGUCCUGUUUAUGUACUUUUAUUUCAUUGUUCUUUAUUUUCUAGAGUCAUGCUUCAAUGUUAAAUUACUAAAGUCUGAUGACAUACGGAGGUAGAUUAGUGGUCGCAUUGACUUUCCACUAAUUUUCCCUUGCUCUCAAUAAUGGUCCAUUUGCUAGACUUGGUUAAAGCUCAAGUAUCCACAAGUGGGAUGUAAUUUAAAGGCUGUAUUAUAAAACUUAUAAUUGCUUAUUGUAUUUUGUUUGCUCAACUCUUUAAUCAAACUUCAUUAAAUGGUGAAAGAUAAUAUUACUCCUGAAUGAACAAAUUGUCAGACAGAUAAUAUUGAAAUUUUCAUGUGUCAUUAUUUGCGACUAUGGUGAUCCUAAGUGUUGCUUCAUGUUUUUGUAAUAGUUUUUUGAUGACUUCCUUUCACAGCCAUGCAUGGAGAAAAGAAUUAUUUACCUAUAAGAAUAAAGGCAAUGAUGGGUCUCGACAAUUUACAUCCAAAAGGAAGAUGGAAGAUCCAACCAGAGAUUGCCCAUGGAAGAGAACAGUUCCAAUAGUCUAGACUCUCCAAAAAGUUUUGGGGACUUACAAUUUGUGUAUAUAAAUGGGUAAUUGUGUAUUUGUAAAUGAGUAAUUUUAGCC
Molecule: long non-coding RNA, 1151 nt
Organism: Juglans microcarpa x Juglans regia
Lineage: Eukaryota; Viridiplantae; Streptophyta; Magnoliopsida; Fagales; Juglandaceae
Exons: 2
Source: RefSeq, a predicted model, not a curated record